Papaver somniferum (opium poppy) is the source of this 579-nucleotide long non-coding RNA. RefSeq lists it as uncharacterized. The record is from RefSeq and is a predicted model, not a curated record. The transcript has 3 exons. Lineage: Eukaryota; Viridiplantae; Streptophyta; Magnoliopsida; Ranunculales; Papaveraceae.
UCUUUGAUUUUGCUCUGAGUUCACUUCAGACGGAAAAGCCUAGAGUUUAUUUGUUGAAGAUGAUGAUGACGACUCAUGAUCAACAUAGUGGUGGUCGAUGGCAUUCAUAAAGGGUGAUUCUAUUCAGGUGGUGGUCGUAGGGAGAGAUUUAUCAGUAGUUUCAGGAAGCAGUGGCGGCAGAAUCUUCGGUUGGCGGUAGUGGUGGUGGGAUGGCUGGCUACCUUGGAUAACAGUUGCCAUCGCUGGUCUUGCCUUGGUUGCCCUGCGUACACUGAUACACUCUCUUAGAAAACAGUUUGAGAAGUCGAGGAAACAGUGUAAACGUGCAUCUUUUUAAAGCGCAUUGGUGAUGUGCGUGUUCAACAGAUUGGAGCAAUGGUACGGACAACAAUGGGGACACUGAGUGUUGACGAAGAUCCAGAUUCAGCUGCUCCGAAGGAUGUGACUGCAGAGGAGUCCUCCUCGACUGUCAAAAGAGAGCCCAGAAUGUGAGGACUCUAGUGGUAACCAGGUUCUCUGAUAAAUUUUCCUCAUUGCGCCAACUCAACAAGACAACAAUGAGAGUGGAAUCACAAGGGU